AGAGUUUGAUCAUGGCUCAGAACGAACGCUGGCGGCGUGCCUAAUACAUGCAAGUCGCGCGAGAAAGUCCCGCAAGGGAUGAGUAGAGCGGCAAACGGGUGAGUAACACGUAAGUAACCUACCUCUAAAUCUGGAAUAACCUUGCCAACGCGAGGCUAAUACCGGAUGUGGCCAAGAUUCCGCAUGGAGUCUUGAUUAAAGGCGACCUCUAUUUAUAAGUUGUCGUUUGGAGAUGGACUUGCGCACUAUUAGCUUGUUGGUGAGGUAACGGCCCACCAAGGCUUAGAUGGUUAGCCGGCCUGAGAGGGUGUACGGCCACAUUGGGACUGAGAUACGGCCCAGACUCCUACGGGAGGCAGCAGUAGGGAAUUUUGCGCAAUGGACGAAAGUCUGACGCAGCAACGCCGCGUGAGUGAUGAAGGUCUUCGGAUUGUAAAGCUCUGUUGAUUGGGAAGAAAAGUUUCGGGAAUAAUACCUCGAAACCUGACGGUACCAGUCGAGGAAGCACCGGCUAACUACGUGCCAGCAGCCGCGGUAAUACGUAGGGUGCAAGCGUUGUUCGGAAUCACUGGGCGUAAAGGGAGAGUAGGCGGGAAGAUAAGUUAGAAGUUCAAUAUAUAGGCUUAACCUAUAACCUGCUUCUAAUACUGUUUUUCUUGAGUAUUGUAGAGGGAGAUGGAAUUCCAGGUGUAGCGGUGGAAUGCGUAGAUAUCUGGAAGAACACCAGCUGCGAAGGCGGUCUCCUGGACAAAUACUGACGCUGAGGCUCGAAAGCUAGGGGAGCAAACAGGAUUAGAUACCCUAGUAGUCC
Molecule: ribosomal RNA, 811 nt
Filed under: uncultured bacterium
Lineage: Bacteria
Description: bacterial SSU rRNA
Rfam family: Bacterial small subunit ribosomal RNA
Source: RNAcentral